Molecule: ribosomal RNA, 164 nt
Filed under: Senecio flavus
Lineage: Eukaryota; Viridiplantae; Streptophyta; Magnoliopsida; Asterales; Asteraceae
Also listed under: 7 other names
Description: 5.8S ribosomal RNA
Rfam family: 5.8S ribosomal RNA
About the family: 5.8S ribosomal RNA (5.8S rRNA) is a component of the large subunit of the eukaryotic ribosome. It is transcribed by RNA polymerase I as part of the 45S precursor that also contains 18S and 28S rRNA.
Source: RNAcentral
UAAACGACUCUCGGCAACGGAUAUCUCGGCUCACGCAUCGAUGAAGAACGUAGCAAAAUGCGAUACUUGGUGUGAAUUGCAGAAUCCCGUGAACCAUCGAGUUUUUGAACGCAAGUUGCGCCCGAAGCCUUUUGGUUGAGGGCACGUCUGCCUGGGCGUCACAC